UACAGGCUUAACACAUGCAAGUCGAGGGGCAGCAUGGUCUUAGCUUGCUAAGACUGAUGGCGACCGGCGCACGGGUGAGUAACACGUAUCCAACCUGCCGUCUACUCUUGGACAGCCUUCUGAAAGGAAGAUUAAUACAAGAUGGCAUCAUGAGUCCGCAUGUUCACAUGAUUAAAGGUAUUCCGGUAGACGAUGGGGAUGCGUUCCAUUAGAUAGUAGGCGGGGUAACGGCCCACCUAGUCUUCGAUGGAUAGGGGUUCUGAGAGGAAGGUCCCCCACAUUGGAACUGAGACACGGUCCAAACUCCUACGGGAGGCAGCAGUGAGGAAUAUUGGUCAAUGGGCGAGAGCCUGAACCAGCCAAGUAGCGUGAAGGAUGACUGCCCUAUGGGUUGUAAACUUCUUUUAUAAAGGAAUAAAGUCGGGUAUGCAUACCCGUUUGCAUGUACUUUAUGAAUAAGGAUCGGCUAACUCCGUGCCAGCAGCCGCGGUAAUACGGAGGAUCCGAGCGUUAUCCGGAUUUAUUGGGUUUAAAGGGAGCGUAGAUGGAUGUUUAAGUCAGUUGUGAAAGUUUGCGGCUCAACCGUAAAAUUGCAGUUGAUACUGGAUAUCUUGAGUGCAGUUGAGGCAGGCGGAAUUCGUGGUGUAGCGGUGAAAUGCUUAGAUAUCACGAAGAACUCCGAUUGCGAAGGCAGCCUGCUAAGCUGCAACUGACAUUGAGGCUCGAAAGUGUGGGUAUCAAACAGGAUUAGAUACCCUGGUAGUCCACACGGUAAACGAUGAAUACUCGCUGUUUGCGAUAUACUGCAAGCGGCCAAGCGAAAGCGUUAAGUAUUCCACCUGGGGAGUACGCCGGCAACGGUGAAACUCAAAGGAAUUGACGGGGGCCCGCACAAGCGGAGGAACAUGUGGUUUAAUUCGAUGAUACGCGAGGAACCUUACCCGGGCUUAAAUUGCAGAUGAAUUACGGUGAAAGCCGUAAGCCGCAAGGCAUCUGUGAAGGUGCUGCAUGGUUGUCGUCAGCUCGUGCCGUGAGGUGUCGGCUUAAGUGCCAUAACGAGCGCAACCCUUGUUGUCAGUUACUAACAGGUUCCGCUGAGGACUCUGACAAGACUGCCAUCGUAAGAUGUGAGGAAGGUGGGGAUGACGUCAAAUCAGCACGGCCCUUACGUCCGGGGCUACACACGUGUUACAAUGGGGGGUACAGAGGGCCGCUACCACGCGAGUGGAUGCCAAUCCCCAAAACCUCUCUCAGUUCGGACUGGAGUCUGCAACCCGACUCCACGAAGCUGGAUUCGCUAGUAAUCGCGCAUCAGCCACGGCGCGGUGAAUACGUUCCCGGGCCUUGUACACACCGCCCGUCAAGCCAUGGGAGCCGGGGGUACCUGAAGUGCGUAACCGCGAGGAGCGCCCUAGGGUAAAACUGGUGACUGGGGCUAAGU
RNAcentral lists this ribosomal RNA (1441 nucleotides) under uncultured organism. RNAcentral's name for it is "SSU rRNA". It matches the Rfam family "Bacterial small subunit ribosomal RNA". The record is from RNAcentral.